RNA transcript from Chroicocephalus ridibundus (black-headed gull), 2861 nucleotides. It is a transcript of the gene named suppression of tumorigenicity 7 like, with no coding region annotated. The transcript has 16 exons. Lineage: Eukaryota; Metazoa; Chordata; Aves; Charadriiformes; Laridae. The record is from RefSeq and is a predicted model, not a curated record.
GGGGGCUGAGGGCUCGCCGGGGGAAGACCGUCCCCGCCGGGCCCCGUGGAGGGCUGCGGGGCCGUCGGGCCGGGCAGGGUCGGUCCUGAGUCCUGGGGCUCCCGCGGCGACACCCCGAGCGCGUCCACUUGGCCCCGGGGUGGCGCGUCCGCUGUGCCGCCGGGCCUGGGGACACCCCGGUGUCCGGGGCCGCCGUAGGGAUCGGAGGCGGACGGCUCCCCGCUGCCCCGGGGCAUGCUGAGCCUGCCCCGUGUCCCCGCUCCCCGCCCUGGCGGUGCCUUGCCCGGCUGGAGGCCUGGACCGGGUCCGAGCCGCCUCGCCUGCCCCCGGCCCGGCCGCCCUUGGCCGCCAGAGCCCCUCGGGGCUCCCUCCGGGCCGGCUGGCGGCGGGUGACAAAACUCAUAUGCGGUUUGGGUCAAAACCAUGGUCAGGAUAGCGCUAAAAAUCUGCAUUCCCUGCCCUGUGCUGUGAAUACCGGGAAGGAGAGGUCCGUAGUGAAAUUGUGUUCUUAACACUGAACGUGGACCUGCAUCAAAACAUGACUGUGUUCUUAAGCACUUUGACUCCAAAAUUCUACUUUGCCCUUACAGUGACGUCGUCUUUUAUAUCUGGACUGAUAUUUGUAUUUGAGUGGUGGCAUUUUCGAAAAUAUGGCACAUCGUUCAUUGAGCAGGUUUCUGUGAGUCAUUUGAGGCCCCUCAUCGGAGGUGUAGAAAACAGCCCCCCAGCACCAGCAGCGUUCUCGGCUGGAGAGAAUGAGACGAGCAGGCAGAACAUGCCAGAGUGCAAAGUGUGGCGAAAUCCUCUCAAUCUUUUCAGAGGGGCAGAGUAUAGCAGGUACAUGUGGGUGACUGGGAAGGAGCCUCUUACGUACUAUGACAUGAAUUUGUCUGCUCAAGAUCAUCAAAACUUUUUCACGUGCGAUACAGAUGCCCUUCGGCCUUCAGAUACAGUUAUGCAGAAAGCCUGGCGCGAGAGGAACCCGCAAGCCCGGAUUAAAGCAGCGCAUCAGGCGUUGGAGUUGAACAACGAUUGUGCCACUGCAUAUGUCCUCCUGGCUGAGGAAGAAGCAACAACGAUUGUGGAUGCUGAGAGGUAUUUCAAGCAGGCUCUGAAAGCAGGAGAAAUGAUUUACAGGAAGUCUCAGAACUGCCAUUCCCAAAGUCCCCAGCACGAAGCACAGCUGAGAAGAGACACCAAUGUAUUGGUAUAUGUGAAAAGGAGACUAGCCAUGUGUGCAAGAAAACUUGGCAGAAUACGAGAAGCAGUGAAAAUGAUGAGAGAUCUGAUGAAAGAGUUUCCACUUCUCAGCAUGCUGAAUAUUCAUGAAAACCUGCUGGAGGCACUGCUGGAGUUACAGGCUUACGCGGAUGUCCAGGCAGUGUUAGCCAAGUAUGACGAUAUCAGUCUUCCAAAAUCGGCAGCAAUAUGUUACACAGCAGCCCUGUUAAAAGCCAGAGCGGUUUCAGAGAGGUUCUCCCCAGAAACUGCCUCCAAAAGAGGGCUCAGUACAGCAGAAAUUAAUGCUGUGGAAGCAAUUCACAGAGCUGUGGAGUUUAACCCUCAUGUUCCAAAGUAUUUACUAGAAAUGAAAAGCUUAGUGCUGCCUCCGGAGCACAUUCUGAAACGAGGGGACAGCGAGGCAGUGGCGUAUGCUUUUUUCCACCUCCAGCACUGGAAGAGGAUAGAAGGGGCUCUGAAUCUGCUGCACUGUACAUGGGAAGGCACAUUUAGGAUGAUCCCGUACCCGUUAGAGAAAGGUCAUCUUUUCUAUCCCUAUCCGAGUUGCACAGAAACAGCAGACAGGGAACUGUUGCCAACAUUUCAUGAAGUCUCCGUUUACCCACAGAAGGAACUUCCCUUUUUCAUCCAUUUCACAGCAGGCCUAUGUUCCUUCUCGGCAAUGCUCGCCCUCCUCACGCACCAGUUCCCCGAGCUGAUGGUCGUUUUUGCUAAAGCUAUGCCAUCUAGAAUAUGGAUCCUGUCUGGAAGCACGGGCCAGCCUUGGUGGAUGGUCUGUUCAGUUUUCACACGUUUGAGUCGAUGACCUAUAAAUAAUCCAUGCCUGAAUCCCCAAGAAAAUGCGCUCCCCUCCUCCCCGGUCGGUUCAACGCUGAAGGCGCGGUGCUCAGGGCAGCUGGAAGAGCGGUGACGCAGGGAAAUGCCAUCCUAACCCCCCCUGCCUCUGCGGGGGUGCUGGGGCACAGCCAAACGCCAUCCUAACGCCUCUGCCCCUGCCCAGGUGCUGCGGGUGCUGUGGCCGGUGAGUGCUCCCAGCGUUCUGGCCUCCAGCUGAGUGGACACGCCGCGGGCACCGGGGUGCUUUGGGACUCUUCUUUCACCCUUCAGCUUCAUUAUGGAAUACAUUGAGGUCCUCCUGCUGCCCAGUCUCUGGCCUCAGCAGACUCCAGUGUGACUGGGGCGCUUUCCACCAUGGUUCGAUUUCGCUGCUCUCACCAGCCUCGCCCCCGCUGUCUAGCGCAGCCCUAGACGUGGGGGGCAAGGAUGAAAGCUGUGCCGGUCCAACUGGUAGCUUUGACAGGCUUCCAUGUUGGUAAAGGUGCUUAACAUGAGUUUCUUCUUUGGCCUUAGUCUGUAAUCAUCUAAGAAAAUAGUUUUUUGUUGAGCAAUACCGUAUUGCUCUCUCAAUCACUUGUAGGACUGGAAGCUAAUACUUCCUCUGUAAAAAGGAGAGGACACACACUGAGCAGAUGUUUGGAAUAUUGGCGCUUCCUUCUCAGCUGCAGAUACACCAGAUAAUUGGCUUAGAUUUAAUUUUAUAAGCCUUUUUCAAAAUAUUUGUUAACAGCAAAGUAUGGUUUUGCUUUCUUUAUUAAAAGGUUGCUUCGUAACACGUUGAA